GAGUUCACAUGAAUAUGGAUUUAAUAAGAACGAAUUAUUCACUUGCAAGUGAAUAAUUCGACCUCAUUAAAUCCAUAUUCAUGUGAACUC
RNAcentral lists this small RNA (90 nucleotides) under Mytilus galloprovincialis (Mediterranean mussel). The record is from RNAcentral. Lineage: Eukaryota; Metazoa; Mollusca; Bivalvia; Mytilida; Mytilidae.